RNAcentral lists this ribosomal RNA (497 nucleotides) under uncultured bacterium. RNAcentral describes it as "partial 16S ribosomal RNA". It matches the Rfam family "Bacterial small subunit ribosomal RNA", at positions 28 to 507 of the family's 1533-position model. The record is from RNAcentral.
GAUGAACGCUGGCGGCGUGCCUAAUACAUGCAAGUCGAGCGAACAGACGAGGAGCUUGCUCCUCUGACGUUAGCGGCGGACGGGUGAGUAACACGUGGAUAACCUACCUAUAAGACUGGGGUAACUUCGGGAAACCGGAGCUAAUACCGGAUAAUAUAUUGAACCGCAUGGUUCAAUAGUGAAAGACGGUUUUGCUGUCACUUAUAGAUGGAUCCGCGCCGCAUUAGCUAGUUGGUAAGGUAACGGCUUACCAAGGCAACGAUGCGUAGCCGACCUGAGAGGGUGAUCGGCCACACUGGAACUGAGACACGGUCCAGACUCCUACGGGAGGCAGCAGUAGGGAAUCUUCCGCAAUGGGCGAAAGCCCGACGGAGCAACGCCGCGUGAGUGAUGAAGGUCUUCGGAUCGUAAAACUCUGUUAUUAGGGAAGAACAAAUGUGUAAGUAACUAUGCACGUCUUGACGGUACCUAAUCAGAAAGCCACGGCUAACUACGUG